GUGGGGAAUAUUGGACAAUGGGGGGAACCCUGAUCCAGCCAUGCCGCGUGUGUGAAGAAGGCCUUUUGGUUGCAAAGCACUUUAAGCGAGGAGGAGGCUACCGAGAUUAAUACUCUUGGAUAGUGGACGUUACUCGCAGAAUAAGCACCGGCUAACUCUGUGCCAGCAGCCGCGGUAAUACAGAGGGUGCAAGCGUUAAUCGGAUUUACUGGGCGUAAAGCGCGCGUAGGUGGCCACUUAAGUCAAAUGUGAAAUCCCCGAGCUUAGCUUGGGAAUUGCAUUCGAUACUGGUUGGCUAGAGUAUGGGAGAGGAUGGUAGAAUUCCAGGUGUAGCGGUGAAAUGCGUAGAGAUCUGGAGGAAUACCGAUGGCGAAGGCAGCCAUCUGGCCUAAUACUGACACUGAGGUGCGAAAGCAUGGGGAGCAAACAGGAUUAGAUACCCCUGUAGUCC
RNAcentral lists this ribosomal RNA (451 nucleotides) under uncultured bacterium. RNAcentral's name for it is "partial 16S ribosomal RNA". It matches the Rfam family "Bacterial small subunit ribosomal RNA", at positions 354 to 796 of the family's 1533-position model. The record is from RNAcentral.